UAAUAAGUUAAAACUUUCAACAACGGAUCUCUUGGUUCUGGCAUCGAUGAAAAACGCAGCGAAAUGCGAUAAGUAAUGUGAAUUGCAGAAUUCAGUGAAUCAUCGAAUCUUUGAACGCACAUUGCGCCCAUUAGUAUUCUAAUGGGCAUGCCUGUUCAAGCGUCAUUUC
Molecule: ribosomal RNA, 169 nt
Filed under: Monosporascus cannonballus
Lineage: Eukaryota; Fungi; Ascomycota; Sordariomycetes; Xylariales
Description: 5.8S ribosomal RNA
Rfam family: 5.8S ribosomal RNA
About the family: 5.8S ribosomal RNA (5.8S rRNA) is a component of the large subunit of the eukaryotic ribosome. It is transcribed by RNA polymerase I as part of the 45S precursor that also contains 18S and 28S rRNA.
Source: RNAcentral